RNAcentral lists this long non-coding RNA (208 nucleotides) under Vitis vinifera (wine grape). Its description in RNAcentral is "long non-coding RNA (VVIN_LNC004628)". Lineage: Eukaryota; Viridiplantae; Streptophyta; Magnoliopsida; Vitales; Vitaceae. The record is from RNAcentral.
GGGUAAAAGGUGAAUGAAACAAUGGGAAACAAAGGCCCAAAUCUCCCAAUAGAUAAUGCCAAACCCCUGUGUGCGCAAUGUCAAAUAUCGCAGAACCAUGUGAGCAAGGUGACUCAACCCUGCAUCCAAAUAAAAAACAAACAAUAGGUGAUACGCACCAAAGAACUCAUCGUUCAUGAAGUGAAACGACGAUCGACGAGGAUAGAAG